UAACAAGGAUUCCCCUAGUAACUGCGAGUGAAGCGGGAAAAGCUCAAAUUUAAAAUCUGGCAGUCUUUUUUUGACUGUCCGAAUUGUAGUCUGGAGAAGUGCUUUCCGCGCUGGACCGUGUACAAGUCUCUUGGAACAGAGCGUCAUAGAGGGUGAGAAUCCCGUCUUUGACACGGACAAUCAGUGCUUUGUGAUGUGCUCUCAAAGAGUCGGGUUGUUUGGGAAUGCAGCUCAAAAUGGGUGGUAAAUUCCAUCUAAAGCUAAAUAUUGGCGAGAGACCGAUAGCGAACAAGUACCGUGAGGGAAAGAUGAAAAGCACUUUGGAAAGAGAGUUAAACAGUACGUGAAAUUGCUGAAAGGGAAACGCUUGAAGUCAGUCGCGUUGGCCAGAACUCAGCCUUGCUUUUUUGCUUGGUGCACUUUCUGGUUGACGGGCCAGCAUCAAUUUUGACUGCUGGAUAAAGGUUGGGGGAAUGUGGCACCUUAGGGUGUGUUAUAGCCCUCAGUCCGCAUACAGUGGUUGGGAUUGAGGAUCUCAGUACGCCUUUAAGGCAAGGGGCUUUAACUUCCCUAUGCUCGUGCUUACGAUGCUGGCAUAAUGGCUUUAAACGAC
Molecule: ribosomal RNA, 613 nt
Filed under: Polyporales sp. 1 KUC20130809-08
Lineage: Eukaryota; Fungi; Basidiomycota; Agaricomycetes; Polyporales
Description: eukaryotic LSU rRNA
Rfam family: Eukaryotic large subunit ribosomal RNA
Source: RNAcentral